This 380-nucleotide unclassified non-coding RNA is filed under the name uncultured bacterium. RNAcentral describes it as "contains 16S-23S intergenic spacer region". The record is from RNAcentral.
UCCGGUUUGUCACCGGCAGUCCCCCGAGAGUCCUCAGCGUUUUGCAACCUGUUAGCAACACGGGGCGAGGGUUGCGCUCGUUGCGGGACUUAACCCAACAUCUCACGACACGAGCUGACGACAACCAUGCACCACCUGUAUACCGACCUUGCGGGGAGUACAUUUCUGCACUUUUCCGGUAUAUGUCAAGCCUUGGUAAGGUUCUUCGCGUUGCAUCGAAUUAAUCCGCAUGCUCCGCCGCUUGUGCGGGCCCCCGUCAAUUCCUUUGAGUUUUAACCUUGCGGCCGUACUCCCCAGGCGGAGUGCUUAAUGCGUUAGCUGCGACACCGAAGAGCUAGGCUCCCCAACGUCUAGCACACAUCGUUUACAGCGUGGACUAC